This is a long non-coding RNA of Rhododendron vialii, 796 nucleotides long. RefSeq lists it as uncharacterized. NCBI's taxonomy places the organism in Eukaryota, Viridiplantae, Streptophyta, Magnoliopsida, Ericales, Ericaceae. The record is from RefSeq and is a predicted model, not a curated record. The transcript is spliced from 2 exons.
CUCCCUAACCCUCUCAUUCUCUCGUCUCUCUCUUUCUCUCAUCUCUCUCACCUCCUCAGCCAAAAACCCACCAAAUUAACACAAGAUAUACAUGGGUUAACCUCCAAUCUAUCUCCUGCAUGUGAUUCAAGUCUUAAAUUUCGUAGGUCCAGCUCGGGAAAGGAGGAACGGGUUGAUUUUGAAGUUUUCGGAGUCUAGAGCUUGGACAAUCUUGGGGGUUUGCUCUCCAAACUGAAGGCAGAGAUUUCUUACUCACUUUAUGCGUUUAAAUGAUGUUUAUGUGCCUGGAUCAGGCUUAUUUUUGUUGAUUGGGCAGGUUUUGAGAUCUGCUGCAGUUUCUAUUUUCUGCUCGUACCUGGUUGCGAGUGGCGCGAGCCGGUCCCCCUUUCGCGCGCGCGAGUGUGCCCCCUUGUAGUUGUUCGAUCUAGUUUGCUGAGUUAGGAUCUGGUGUUGAUCAUUGUGGAGAUCGGUUCAAAAUCCAAAAGCAGUGGAAGUCGCCUGCAGAACCCAGUUCUCUACCGGUACAAAACAAAGAAAUUGGCAUAGCGUGCAUAUCGUGCUUGUUGAUCAUGUCUUUCAAGGUAUAAAAGAGGCAAUUUAUUGCAUUUGAUUCGAAAGAAGUAUUUUGGAAAGACAUUCGUUGUAACUAUACAUAAUAUCAUUUUAUUCAGACAUUGGUAUUUUGAUAACUUGGAGCUGUGAGCCAAAAAUGUAAUAUCUGGAUUUGAUUUGAGAACAGGGGAAGGAAUGAAUUUUGGAUAUUAUCGGUAUUACAGCGAGAACUUUGUUUAUAAAA